GGACCCGCACAAGCGGUGGAGCAUGUGGUUUAAUUCGAUGCAACGCGAAAAACCUUACCUACUCUUGACAUCCUUGGAAUCUCUUGUAAUGAGAGAGUGCCUUUUGGAACCAAGUGACAGGUGCUGCAUGGCUGUCGUCAGCUCGUGUCGUGAGAUGUUCCGUUAAGUCGGAUAACGAGCGCAACCCUUACCCUUAUUUGCCAGCGGUUCGGCCGGGAACUAUAAGGGGACUGCCGGUGAUAAACCGGAGGAAGGUGAGGACGACGUCAAGUCAUCAUGGCCCUUACGAGUAGGGCUACACACGUGCUACAAUGGGAAGUACAGAGGGACGCCAAAGCGCGAGCUGGAGCUAAUCUCAUAAAACUUUUCGUAGUCCGGAUUGCAGUCUGCAACUCGACUGCAUGAAGUCGGAAUCGCUAGUAAUCG
RNAcentral lists this ribosomal RNA (426 nucleotides) under uncultured bacterium. RNAcentral describes it as "bacterial SSU rRNA". It matches the Rfam family "Bacterial small subunit ribosomal RNA", at positions 917 to 1344 of the family's 1533-position model. The record is from RNAcentral.